RNAcentral lists this ribosomal RNA (253 nucleotides) under uncultured Pseudomonadaceae bacterium. RNAcentral's name for it is "partial 16S ribosomal RNA". It matches the Rfam family "Bacterial small subunit ribosomal RNA", at positions 524 to 776 of the family's 1533-position model. The record is from RNAcentral. Lineage: Bacteria; Pseudomonadati; Pseudomonadota; Gammaproteobacteria; Pseudomonadales; Pseudomonadaceae.
UACGAAGGGUGCAAGCGUUAAUCGGAAUUACUGGGCGUAAAGCGCGCGUAGGCGGUUUGUUAAGUUGGAAGUGAAAGCCCCGGGCUCAACCUGGGAACUGCUUUCAAAACUGGCAAGCUAGAGUAUGGCAGAGGGUGGUGGAAUUUCCUGUGUAGCGGUGAAAUGCGUAGAUAUAGGAAGGAACACCAGUGGCGAAGGCGACCACCUGGGCUAAUACUGACGCUGAGGUGCGAAAGCGUGGGGAGCAAACAGG